ACUUCUAAGUGAUCACUCAGGAAACCAACAUCCUUCCAUAUUGUGAGUCUACUAUACUUGAAGUCCUCUCAUUAAUCACUAGAUAAGGAGAAAAAAAAAUGGAGGAAUUCUCAGUGCACGUAUUUUUAUGAAGCAAGUAUGGAAGGGAGCAUGUUUGCUUCUGCUCACACUCCACAUGCCAUGAGCUACAACCCAGCCAUAUGGACACACUGAACUAAUGGAACAGCUGGGAAAUAAAGUACAGCUGUCAAAAUGUAUUCACUUUACUCAAUACUAGAAAAACAAUCUGAUUAAAAAAUGAGCAGAGGACUUAAAUGACAUUUUUCCAAAGAAAACUCACAGAUGGACAACAGGUACUUGGGUCUGAAUGGGCUCUCAGACUUAAUAUUUGUACUCAAUAUGGUCAGAACAGUCAUCUAGAAAACAAAGUUGAGAAUUCUGUGCUCAUAAAGAAACUACUGAAAUUUCAGGUCAUCCAUAAUCCAAGAUGUAAUAUUGGAAGAGAAAUCCACAAGUUGACUUUAAAGUCACUUGGAAUAAUUAACCUUCAGAAAAGUUUUUGACAUUGAUCCUAUAUGAUAGUUGCUACCUGCAGAGAAGUCAACAGGGCUUGCCACUAAGAAGCACCUACUCCAACACAGCAAAGUCCAAUGAUCUGUUCCCAUAAAUGCUUCACUGGGUUUGUGCUACCUUACAUAGCACUUUGAGGUGGCUGAA
Molecule: long non-coding RNA, 717 nt
Organism: Canis lupus familiaris (dog)
Lineage: Eukaryota; Metazoa; Chordata; Mammalia; Carnivora; Canidae
Exons: 4
Source: RefSeq, a predicted model, not a curated record